This 860-nucleotide ribosomal RNA is filed under the name uncultured Bacillota bacterium. RNAcentral describes it as "bacterial SSU rRNA". It matches the Rfam family "Bacterial small subunit ribosomal RNA", at positions 58 to 951 of the family's 1533-position model. The record is from RNAcentral. Lineage: Bacteria; Bacillati; Bacillota.
CAAGUCGCACGAGAAAGUGGAGCAAUCCAUGAGUACAGUGGCGUACGGGUGAGUAACACGUGGAUCAUCUGCCCUGGAGUGGGGAAUAACGCUGGGAAACCGGCGCUAAUACCGCAUAUUCCCGAGAGGGGAAAGCAGCAAUGCGCUCGAGGAGGAGUCCGCGGCCGAUUAGCUAGUUGGCAGGGUAAAAGCCUACCAAGGCUGCGAUCGGUAGCCGGCCUGAGAGGGCACACGGCCACACUGGCACUGAAACACGGGCCAGACUCCUACGGGAGGCAGCAGUGGGGAAUCUUGCACAAUGGGGGAAACCCUGAUGCAGCGACGCCGCGUGAGCGAUGAAGCCCUUCGGGGUGUAAAGCUCUUUCGGCAGGGACGAUUAUGACGGUACCUGCAGAAGCAGCUGCGGCUAACUACGUGCCAGCAGCCGCGGUAAUACGUAGGCAGCAAGCGUUGUUCGGAGUUACUGGGCGUAAAGGGUGCGUAGGCGGCCUGUUAAGUUCCGUGUGAAAUCUCCCGGCUCAACUGGGAGGGUGCGCGGAAAACUGGCGGGCUAGAGUGCGGGAUGGGAGAGUAGAAUUCCUGGUGUAGCGGUGAAAUGCGUAGAUAUCAGGAGGAAUACCGGUGGUGUAGACGGCUCUCUGGACCGUAACUGACGCUGAGACACGAAAGCGUGGGUAGCAAACAGGAUUAGAUACCCUGGUAGUCCACGCCCUAAACGAUGCAUAUUUGGUGUAGGUCAUUCAGUUGAUCUGUGCCGGAGCUAACGCGUUAAAUAUGCCGCCUGGGGAGUACAGUCGCAAGGCUGAAACUCAAAGGAAUUGACGGGGGCCCGCACAAGCGGUGGAGCAUGUGGUUCAAUU